GACCAGACUCCUAGGGAGGCAGCAGUGGGGAAUAUUGCACAAUGGGGGAAACCCUGAUGCAGCGACGCCGCGUGAGUGAAGAAGUAUUUCGGUAUGUAAAGCUCUAUCAGCAGGGAAGAAAAUGACGGUACCUGAUUAAGAAGCCCCGGCUAACUACGUGCCAGCAGCCGCGGUAAUACGUAGGGGGCAAGCGUUAUCCGGAUUUACUGGGUGUAAAGGGAGCGUAGACGGCGAUACAAGUCUGAAGUGAAAGCCCGGGGCUCAACCUGGGAACUGCUUUGGAAACUGUAUGGCUAGAGUGCUGGAGAGGUAAGCGGAAUUCCUAGUGUAGCGGUGAAAUGCGUAGAUAUUAGGAGGAACACCAGUGGCGAAGGCGGCUUACUGGACAGUAACUGACGUUGAGGCUCGAAAGCGUGGGGAGCAAACAGGAUUAGAUACCCCGGUAGUA
This 448-nucleotide ribosomal RNA is filed under the name uncultured bacterium. Its description in RNAcentral is "bacterial SSU rRNA". It matches the Rfam family "Bacterial small subunit ribosomal RNA", at positions 329 to 795 of the family's 1533-position model. The record is from RNAcentral.